Molecule: ribosomal RNA, 2250 nt
Filed under: Fusarium musae
Lineage: Eukaryota; Fungi; Ascomycota; Sordariomycetes; Hypocreales; Nectriaceae
Description: large subunit ribosomal RNA
Rfam family: Bacterial large subunit ribosomal RNA
Source: RNAcentral
AUAUUAACUCUAAGAGAAAUUUAAUAAUAAACGAAGUGAAUUGAAAUAUCUUAGUAACUUUAGGAAAAGAAAUCAAAAGAGAUUCUAUGAUUAGCGUGAGCUAAAAUAGACUAGCCUAAAAAGUCAAAUGGUGGAUAAACUGUUUAAAUUAAAUGGGGAACCUUCCUCAAAGGCUAAAUAUAAUAUAUAAGCGAUAGUGGAAAGUACCGUGAGGGAACCAAAACAAAAACAGUGAUUUUAUAAGCAGUUCGGGAAAAUAAAAAAAAGUUAGAACGUACCUUUUGCAUAAUGGGUCACCAAGUUAACAUUAGAUGCGAGUAGGAGGGAGCUUUAUAAAAAAAAAUAUAUUUUUUUAUAGCCCCGUGCAUACGUAGUUAAACCGAGCGUUAAAAUAACGGUAAGUAUCUAAAGUUAGACCCGAAGCCUGGUGAUUUUACCAUAAUCAGGAUUAUAAAAGUCCGAACGGAAUAUUGUAGCAUAAAUAUCCGAAGAAUUAUGGUAGGUGUAGUGAAAGACAAUACUGACCAGGAUAGCUGGUUUUCUGCGAAACCUAUAACAGUAGGCAAUUUAAGUAUAAUAUCUUAGCAGGUACAGAAUUUAAUCUCAGACAAGACAUAAGGCUUAGCUUGCUAGCAAGUAAAGCUCAUGUUUUAUUUUGUACAAAUUGGGGGAUCAUGAAGAUUUUAUCAGUGAGUAUGUAGACUCGGAAUGGCAAAGAUAUAUCUUAAAUCAUCAGACAUAGAAUGAUAAGGUUGUAUGUCAAAAGGGAAACAGCCCAGAACAAGAGUUAAGGUUCCUAAAUUAUUAGUUGAGUGAAAUUAAGAAGGUUUUUAUUAAAGUCGACAAGGAGAUAGGCUUAGAAGCAGCCAUAAUUUUAUGACCUCGUAACAGAGCGCUUGUUAAGUUUUAAAAGCAUCGAAAAUUUAUCGGAUCUAAACAAUAUACCGAAACCUUGUCCAUAUUAUUUUAUAAUUAAAGCUUAAUUAUAAUUAAAUGGGGUAGCAGAACGUUGAGCUAAAUUAAGAUUUUUAUUUUUUAAAUGAAAUUAUAAUAAUUUAACUCAAGUGAUAAUGGUGACAUGAGUAACUAAAAGAAAAAAUAAAAUUUUUCCGCCUAAAGCUUAUGGAUGUAAUUAAGUAACGGCCUCUAAGUUUAUAUUAUCUAAAGAUUUAAACGAUGAGAUAAUCUUUUGUACUAAGGACGACAUUUUAAGUGAAAAAUGUACUGGAAAAAUAGUACUAAAUUAAUGGCUAUAGCUAAUUAGGGCUAUAGCUAUAAAUGAAAAGUAACCGUACCUAGAAUCUGAAACAAGUAAGCUAGUAGAGAAUACGAAGGCGUAAAUGAGCUAACAAUCAUAAAGGAACUCGGCAAAUUGACUACCGUAACUUCGGGAUAAGGAGAGCUCAUUAUUCUUGAUUAAUAUCAGGUAAAGAGGAAGAAGCAUGAAAUAGUGUUGUACGACUGUUUAAUUAAAACACAGCACUUUGCUGAAAGAUUAAAAAUCUAAGUAUAGAGUGUGAUGUCUGCCCGGUGCCGGCUGGUUAACAGAUAUAAUUAAAUAUACUAAUAUUUGAUGUAGACGGAAACCCCGGUUAAAGGCGGCCUUAACGACAGGCUAAUUUGCGCAAGAGUGUACAAAAUGAGUGCGCGGUUUGGCACCUCGAUGUCGGCUUAACUUAUCCUCAUGGAUGCAGGAACUAUGUAGGGUGCGACUGUUCGUCGAUUAAAAAGUUACAUGAGCUGGGUUAAAUACGUCGUGAGACAGUAUGGUUUCUAUCUUCUAGGGGGAAUUAGAAUAUAAUAAGAACUAACUUUUGUACGAAAGGAACAAGAAGAAUUUAAUUUGUAAAAGGGUUAAAUAAUAGUUACUAACCUAUGGUUUACCUGUUGUCUAUGUGCCCAAAUAUUAAAAUAUAUAUGGAGGAAGCUCCUUAAGAGCUUCCCCGCAAAUUAUAUAUAUCUGUAUAGCUAGCCUGCGGACUCCGGUUAUGCCUGAGUUUGGCAAGCUAAAGCUAUACAUAGGGAUGUUUCUUUCACUAAGAUAAAUAUAUAGCAUAGGCACGGCAGGAAAGCUAAGUUGGUUAAGGAUAAGUGCUGAAAGCAUAUAGGCACGAAGCUUAUCUUAAGAUAUUUCUUAAAUAUACGUAAAAUAUUAUUACGAAGGAUGUAAUAUAGGCUUUAUCCGUACGAAUCUGGAGAUUUUUAAGAAUAAAGUACUAAUUUUAUAAAUAACUAUUUAUACAUAUAUCA